AAGACAGAAAGAAAGAAAGAAAGAAAGGAGGCUGGCUCGUUAUGUAACAGCACUUGAAAUAAAACAUCUGGUCUUGAGGACACCUGAGUGACACAUGGAGACCAGCCAUCCAGAAACUGUCUCCUGCCCAACUUCCCACUCCUAACUUUCCUUUCCUCCUGACAACUAUCCUUCACUCCCUUAAGGAUUCCAAUUACAUCAGUAACUGAUAAGUUUAAAUUUAUCUGCCCAAUUUCUAUGUUUUAUUUUUCCAAUCCAUCUCUCGGGAACAGCUUUUAACACAUUUGGAUUUUUUUUUCCUGUCAUAAAAUAUUCUAUUUAUUUCCCAGCAGCUGGUGUCAAAAAAAGUUGUUGUUCUCUUUAAAUAUUACUCUUAAAUAAAUAAAAUCUGUUUUCAUAUAAUGUAGAAUUAGUUUUGCCUGCUGUGAGUUUGUGGCAUUAUGAAGUGAUCAUUUUUUUUCAUGCAUUAUUCAGAAGGAGGGUAAAAAAAAGGAAAGGCAAAGAUGACGGACAAUAGCGUGCCAUUCGGUUUGUAUAAAUGCAGCAGCCGUACUAAUAGUUCACUACGUGCAGCACAGACAAAACACUUUCUCUUUGUCAAACGUGGCCACUAACCUUAAUUUAGUAUUUCAGAGAGAGGUAGUGAAAGAUUCAUUUCUUCCCUCGCUGUCCCCCUAUGACUUAUCUAGUGGGGCAGAUAAUAGACAUGUCUUAUUUUGCUAGCAAGAUAUCAGUGUUUUAGACAAGAAGUAUUUGGGAUGCUUACGCUCAGUAUUACAGCUCAGCUGGCCCUUGAUGGCCUUUAAGUCUUUUUUAUAUUUUAUUUUUAACAACCUAUUCUUUGUUUAAACCUCUGGUUUGACAGUGUCUCUCUGUCUUUCAUGAAAAACUAUUAGAAUUGUUAACAUUUCCUCUGGAGUCUUCAUAUUACCCUGUCUUUCAGAACGGCUGUAACUGCAUAGCUGUAAUUAUUCUCACUUUGAAUUCUGACUGUCGUAUUUGGAAGGGGAUGAAGGGUGGGGAUUUUAAUAAAUCACUCAGGCUCCCCAAGGCACAUGGUAUCACACCAAAUCUAAUAUGAACUUUUAAGUCCAUCAAGGGUGAGCAUAUAAUAUUCACUGUACUUCUCUCACUGAUACCUCAUCCAACAUUUUGCAUUGAGACAAUACAUUACAUCAUGUUGUCAGCUUUGGGAAACCAAAUUCAGCCUUUUCUAUCUAUCAACGAUGUAACUUCUUCAGCCAUGGCAGAAAACAAAAUCAAAGUUUGAGCUUCCUUUUUUAUGUCCAACAAAAGCAUUUACUGCUUAUUUAAGACGACCUUGAAAGAAAGUAUUUAGCAAAAAAGAAAAAAAAAAGAGAAAGCAAAUUCUUUCUUUCAAUAAACUCGCUCUCCCCCUGAAAGGCUUUGCUCUGUGUAUGGAUUUUUCAUUUACUUUAAUUAUUUUCAAGUGCCUCUGCUCAAAUUGGUAGGAAUUAAGUAUCCACAACAUCAGUGUAGGUCCUAGUGCUAGAUGUUAUAAACAAAAUGUUCUUCAGUGGCCUAAAUCUGCAUAAGUAGGAAGUCUUGAGAAUUUGGGAAGUCCUUUUCCACAAGGAGUACUUCUGGGGACCCCAUGACCUAUGGGAAUCAGUUCUCAAAGCGUAUGUUAUGGGACUUGCACUACAUAGACAUCACAUCUCUCUAAUCACAAACACAUAAAUCCUUCCUACCAUCUUGUACAAAAACAAGAAUGUUGUUAGCAUUUCAAUGAAGAAAGCUAAAUCUCACCUGUAAGUGGCUGGUGCCAACUACAACAACUGACAAAACAUUUUCACCCAUCACUGAAUCAUGGAAAAUCUUCACUUGGAAGAGACACCCAAGGAUCACUGAGUUCAACUCCUGGCUCUGCACAGCACCACCCCAAAUCCAAACCCUAUGUCUGAGAGCAGUGUCCAAAUGUUCCUUGAACUCUGGCACUUGGGACCAUGGCCACAGCCCUGGGCAGCCUAUUCCAUGCCCACCACCCUCUGGUGCAGACCCUGUCCUUAACCCCCAGCUGCCCCUCCCCUGACACAGCUCCAUGCCAUUCCCUCGGCCCCCGUCGCUGUCACAGAGAGCAGAGCUCAGCGCUGCCCCUCUGCUCCCUGUGAGGAGCUGUAGCUGCCAUGAGGCCUCCCCUCAGCUCCUCUGCUCUGCGCUGAGUGCACCAGCAGACCUCAGCCGCUCCUCACACACCUUGCCCUCCAGACCCUUUCUCAUCCUCAGAGCCCUCCCUAGGAUGCUCUCUUGAACUUUUAUGUCCUUCUUGUAUGGUAGUGCUCAUAACACACAAUGAGGUGACGCCUCCCUGAUGCAGACCAGAGUGAGAAAUACACGAGGAUUUAGUUGGACACAGUAGCCAAGUGUUAUAAGAAAAUGCAGAGAGACCAAACAACUAGGCAUAUAAUCAAAAGCACAUUGUAAUCUUUCAUAAUCUCAGCAAUCACUUCUUUCUCUCACAUGCAGCCAUACAUAUACUCACAAACAGUAACAGGAAUGCAAAAGUUUUUGUCCUUUGUUAAGUGUUCAAAGCCCAGAUAUCUUUCUGGUUAAUAAAUACACACAGUAAAUUCAACAAAAAGAAGAAAACAAGCACUAAGUAAAAGCCCUUGGCAAACUUCAGAUGGAAGAGUUCAGAUGCAAUUAUGUGCAGACAUUCAGAGAAGGAAGAAGAGGAACCGAGGCUGAGGAAAAUGCACACGAUUUAACCAUUAUCCCAUCAUAAGCUGUGGACUUUGCCUUGAACUGAGAUUCCAAAAAUAAACAAUUAACAUUUAAAUCCCCAGCUUUAUUUUCAGUGGUACCCUUUCUCCUGUGGUUACAUGCAUGCUCAAAAACAAAACCCCAGCUAACAUCUACAGCUUUGAGCAACUUUAGCCCUGAGUCCCAAGGAAGAGCUAUCAGUCAAACUUUCCACUGUACCUACAGGUUUCCACUGUCAUGUUCUGAACUGAGGACACAAUAAAACUGAAAAUGCAAUAAAACUAAAACCAAAGGGAGAAGAAACAGACAAAAUGAAGUUAUAGAAGGUGUGAUACAGGCAUCUGGAAAACCAGGAGCUAUCACCUGUGGUAAAUCUUGUUUUGUUAGUCUCCUCACUUUCACUCUGCAUUUCUGUUUGUAGCGCAUACUUUCACAUAAAUUUAUAGCUCCUCUGCAUGUUGCCCAUAGUUACACCCAGUACUUACAGGUAAGCCCACAACUCUCUUACUCCAGAAGGGAAGAAAAUCCACAGUAUGAAGUAAAGUAUGAAAACAAUUCUGCACUCACUGACCUGCACUUGGUUACAUCUUCGGAAUAGUUGCUUUAAAAUACAAGUUGUUGUUGAGGUUUGAUUUAAAAAUCCCUGUCAGCUUUGACAUUCAGGUGAAAGCAUUGCUGCUGGCUCCAGAACAAUUUGCAUAUCUUAUCACUAAAUAAAAUGUCUGAGGUGUGUACCAAUCUGAUGAAAUUAUAAACAAGAGUCCACACAAGCACACAUCUUCCUGUUUGAUUUCUGUCCUUUUCACUCUUCUAUAAUAAAUUAUAAGAUCAUCUCAUUCUAGAUGGAGGUUUAACUGUGCAUGUAAAAAGGAAAAUGAAAGCAGUCUAUUCUUUUUCACACUUUACAACUGAGAACCUGACAAAAUUGUGGAUUUGGUGAACAAGCAGAAAAGCUCAGUUUGUUACAAUCUACUUCCUCUUUAACUGCCACACAAAUGGUAGAAAAUCCAAUGUAUUUAUGUAUCUUUAAAAAGUUUUCCACACUCAACACAAACUAAUACAUAAAACUACACCUCUUUUACUGCUAUGACUAAUAUACAUGCUUAGCUUUAUGUCCUGCAAUUAAUCUCAUCUACUUCAAUAAGAUUACUCAUAAUGCUGUAAGUGAAAUACAUGUGUAAAUCCUUGCAGAGUCAUGGCCUGAAUUGUCAACAGCAUUACAUGGAACAAUUAAAUGCCCAGGCCCAGAAUGGCUCUUUAGAAAGAUUAGAAGAAAUCUUUUGACAUAAGAGGUAACAAAAUCUACUCGAGGGAGAGGCUAUGAGGGGAACAGUAUUCAGGGGAUUGUCUUCCCUUGGGAAAUUCACCCAUCACCAAAUUAUUCCAGUAAUACUAUAUUCACCUUUUUCAUCGACUAGUUAUCACCCUCUCUCGCCCCUCCUUUCCCACUCUCCAUCGCAUCUUGCUAUUGCUGCUUUGUGCCAAAAGAGACAGGAUAUAUGUUUUUAUUCUUUUGUGCAGCAGCAUAGGGUGACAGAACAGUCGGGUCCUCAUUUUGACUAGCUCAAUAAUAAACAGUUCACAUGCUAAUUAACUGAGCUAGAUGCACAGUUGAACAAAUGCACCAACUUUCCUUCUUAACCUAUUACUGAAUUGUUCACAUGCUAGUCUCUCAACCCUCUGACUGCAGAUUACUUGCCCAGUAUACUCUAUGGACAAUCUUUAAUCUGUACUUUCUUUGAGUUCAUUACAAGAAGUUGCUGAUGAAAACAAAUACUAAUUGAAUACCCAAACUGUUUAGUUCCACCUACUGACAAGCAGCUUACUGCCUAGUUUGCUCUGUAAAUAUUCAGAAGUUCUACACAAAAAGUUACUCUCUGUACAUUAUUUAGUGUUUGACUAAAAAUCAUGGCUUCAAUACACACUUCUGCUCGACAAAGUCAAUCCCUUAAAAGUUCAAAUGACUAUUUGUCACAAACAUUUCACCUCUACUAAUGAACUGCACGAGCAAAUGAUAGAAAAUGCAAAGCUGUAUUAUGCUUAGCAGUUAACAUUUUAAUAAGGAGGAGAUUAGCAAUUUUUAAUACCUCCAGUGCUUUGUUAUAUACAGUAGCACAAUAACUGAAUAUUUUAAUUGCUAGUUAUUUAGACCUCAUUCAGUUCUCAGUCAGGCAAAACUCCCAUUGAGGGAUUCUUGCCUGAGAAAAGAGCUACAGGAUUUGUCUUACUGUAAUUUGAAAAAACUUCAUAUAUCAUAAAAACUAUCAAGUUAUGGUGAGACAAAAAUCAUUAAAUCCUUAGCAAUAUUAAACUCUACUGAAAGUCCCACUGACUCCCAACGCCAAUGUUUUUAUAUGAAGUAAAACAGAUAAUUGCAGUUUACCAAUUGUUACUUACCUGCAUAAUUUAGGCCCAGAUAUGCUGGUGCUCUUAACAAGAUCUAAUAAUAUUUUGUCUUCUUAUUGUACCCUUGCUUUUCUCCUGUGGGAAAUCUCAAUUCAAAUGUGAUAGGGAAACAGCAUUUCCAAAUAAUUACACCAUCAACAUCUUCAGAAACCCAAAAAGUAGCAUUUAAUUUUACCUUUUGACUUCGGACUCCAAAAGGGCUGAGAGCAGCUCUCAACACUUCUUCUUUAUGCUGCUGUAAAAAAAAAAAAAAAGAAGAAAGAAAGAAAAGAAAUUUAUUUAAGCUUAUGUUUAGAGAUUUGCACACAAAACACACUGAGUUUUCAUAACAGUCAAAUAACGAGGAGUCAGUGGGGGAAGUGAGCAGAAUACUGUAUAUAUAUCAAUAUACAGCUACCUGAAGGAAACAAAGCAGUCUUACACACCCAUGUUUAGCACACAGGUGAUGAACAAAUAAGUUAAAUGUACUAGCACACAGCAUGUCACAUUCUACGCAGACUUCAGAGAGAAAACCUAUACAGCUGAACACCAAUCCAGUAAGGACCAACUCAUAUGACUUUAUGCUCGAAAAAAAACAAAAACCAAAAACACUUAUUUUUUCCAUUAAGUGCAGUUUUACUCUGGCUAGGAAAAAAAAAAAGAAAAACUAGUAUGUGUGACAACCAAAGUUUUGUCACUAAUGUUUUACAUGCAAAAGCAUUUGUGGAAAAAGUUACAAGUAAAUACUCUAAAAGUUCAAGAGUUUAAAGUGGUUCUUUUAUUUUUCUUAAAAAAAGUGUAUGAUGUCCUUCCAUCUGUCAGCUAUAAUUGGCUUCAGCAACUAAAACAAUCAGAAAAUCUCUCUAUAGGCUGCUUUUUGAAGGAGAAUUAAAAGAAGACUUAGUACUAUGUAACACUAAUUGACAAAGCGUUCAGAACUUGCUACCAAACAGGAGUAUUUUAACAUCACAAAUUAGACUUGGGCACUCUACUUCCACCAGUUCAGAAUAAGGCCUAGGGAUCUAACCAGUAUAAUUUCCAAACUCUGUUAUGAGAGGUUCACUCAGAUUACAAUUCCCAAACCCAGCCCAGCCAGGCUUUGUGCUCUCUCACAGGAACAGCAGGAUCUAUUCAUCACCCCUAAGUACUGAACUUCCACCUAGGAACCCACGGCCAACCUAAUUACCAGCUCAACCAUGGCAGGAAUGGGCUAACUAACCUUACUUGUAUUCCGUAAUGCUUUGCUGGUGAGGGGUUUCCAAAGCUACACACAGACAUUUUAAUCACUGAGAUUUUGACCCCUUUGUCACACUACAGAACUGACUCGACAGCAAUUAUUCACCAUAAACUUGUUUCCCCAGAUCUCAAAUGAUUUGUUGUAUUCAUGGAACUGUAAUCUGCUACCUGCUAAAAGUAAACUGCUAUAGAAAAGAACUGUUCUUUGAAGCAAUCUAGUAGUUUAUUAGGAAAGAAAGAAUGCAAAGCAUUGCUUACUCAAGGUAUAGAAGAUGCAAUGACAGCAGGCCUUCCGGUUCAUCAUUUCCAGGCCGGACUUCCCACCACUUUCUUGCUACUACAGAGGUGUUUCUGUUUCCUUCCUGCCUACACGCUCUUCUUCUCAUACCUGCAGCCUUCCUUUUGUUUUCUGGGAGCAUUCUACCUCCAAUCGUAACAAACAAACCAUGCCCUAGGUUCAUCACUUGAGGAC
Molecule: long non-coding RNA, 6817 nt
Organism: Gallus gallus (chicken)
Lineage: Eukaryota; Metazoa; Chordata; Aves; Galliformes; Phasianidae
Source: Ensembl